AGCCUACUGUAUCCAUGCUGAGAUUUCGUCACACACCAGAUGAUGAGACUUCCAAGAUAAGUGAAGCG
RNAcentral lists this microRNA precursor (68 nucleotides) under Schistosoma mattheei. Its description in RNAcentral is "mir-3492 microRNA precursor family". It matches the Rfam family "mir-3492 microRNA precursor family". Lineage: Eukaryota; Metazoa; Platyhelminthes; Trematoda; Strigeidida; Schistosomatidae. The record is from Rfam by way of RNAcentral.